AUACGGAGGGGGCUAGCGUUGUUCGGAAUUACUGGGCGUAAAGCGCGCGUAGGCGGUUGUUCAAGUUGGGCGUGAAAGCCCGGGGCUUAACCCCGGAAAUGCGCUCAAAACUGGACAGCUAGAGUCCGGAAGAGGAGAGUGGAAUUCCCAGUGUAGAGGUGAAAUUCGUAGAUAUUGGGAAGAACACCAGUGGCGAAGGCGGCUCUCUGGUCCGGUACUGACGCUAAGGUGCGAAAGCGUGGGGAGCAAACAGGAUUAGAAACCCCGGUAGUCC
RNAcentral lists this ribosomal RNA (274 nucleotides) under uncultured bacterium. Its description in RNAcentral is "partial 16S ribosomal RNA". It matches the Rfam family "Bacterial small subunit ribosomal RNA", at positions 523 to 796 of the family's 1533-position model. The record is from RNAcentral.